AUAAUGGGUCAGCGACUUAUAUUCUGUAGCAAGGUUAACCGAAUAGGGGAGCCGAAGGGAAACCGAGUCUUAACUGGGCGUUAAGUUGCAGGGUAUAGACCCGAAACCCGGUGAUCUAGCCAUGGGCAGGUUGAAGGUUGGGUAACACUAACUGGAGGACCGAACCGACUAAUGUUGAAAAAUUAGCGGAUGACUUGUGGCUGGGGGUGAAAGGCCAAUCAAACCGGGAGAUAGCUGGUUCUCCCCGAAAGCUAUUUAGGUAGCGCCUCGUGAAUUCAUCUCCGGGGGUAGAGCACUGUUUCGGCAAGGGGGUCAUCCCGACUUACCAACCCGAUGCAAACUGCGAAUACCGGAGAAUGUUAUCACGGGAGACACACGGCGGGUGCUAACGUCCGUCGUGAAGAGGGAAACAACCCAGACCGCCAGCUAAGGUCCCAAAGUCAUGGUUAAGUGGGAAACGAUGUGGGAAGGCCCAGACAGCCAGGAUGUUGGCUUAGAAGCAGCCAUCAUUUAAAGAAAGCGUAAUAGCUCACUGGUCGAGUCGGCCUGCGCGGAAGAUGUAACGGGGCUAAACCAUGCACCGAAGCUGCGGCAGCGACACUAUGUGUUGUUGGGUAGGGGAGCGUUCUGUAAGCCUGUGAAGGUGUACUGUGAGGUAUGCUGGAGGUAUCAGAAGUGCGAAUGCUGACAUAAGUAACGAUAAAGCGGGUGAAAAGCCCGCUCGCCGGAAGACCAAGGGUUCCUGUCCAACGUUAAUCGGGGCAGGGUGAGUCGACCCCUAAGGCGAGGCCGAAAGGCGUAGUCGAUGGGAAACAGGUUAAUAUUCCUGUACUUGGUGUUACUGCGAAGGGGGGACGGAGAAGGCUAUGUUGGCCGGGCGACGGUUGUCCCGGUUUAAGCGUGUAGGCUGGUUUUCCAGGCAAAUCCGGAAAAUCAAGGCUGAGGCGUGAUGACGAGGCACUACGGUGCUGAAGCAACAAAUGCCCUGCUUCCAGGAAAAGCCUCUAAGCAUCAGGUAACAUCAAAUCGUACCCCAAACCGACACAGGUGGUCAGGUAGAGAAUACCAAGGCGCUUGAGAGAACUCGGGUGAAGGAACUAGGCAAAAUGGUGCCGUAACUUCGGGAGAAGGCACGCUGAUAUGUAGGUGAAGUCCCUCGCGGAUGGAGCUGAAAUCAGUCGAAGAUACCAGCUGGCUGCAACUGUUUAUUAAAAACACAGCACUGUGCAAACACGAAAGUGGACGUAUACGGUGUGACGCCUGCCCGGUGCCGGAAGGUUAAUUGAUGGGGUCAGCGCAAGCGAAGCUCUUGAUCGAAGCCCCGGUAAACGGCGGCCGUAACUAUAACGGUCCUAAGGUAGCGAAAUUCCUUGUCGGGUAAGUUCCGACCUGCACGAAUGGCGUAAUGAUGGCCAGGCUGUCUCCACCCGAGACUCAGUGAAAUUGAACUCGCUGUGAAGAUGCAGUGUACCCGCGGCAAGACGGAAAGACCCCGUGAACCUUUACUAUAGCUUGACACUGAACAUUGAGCCUUGAUGUGUAGGAUAGGUGGGAGGCUUUGAAGUGUGGACGCCAGUCUGCAUGGAGCCGACCUUGAAAUACCACCCUU
RNAcentral lists this ribosomal RNA (1609 nucleotides) under Escherichia coli. RNAcentral's name for it is "partial 23S ribosomal RNA". It matches the Rfam family "Bacterial large subunit ribosomal RNA", at positions 612 to 2207 of the family's 2925-position model. The record is from RNAcentral. Lineage: Bacteria; Pseudomonadati; Pseudomonadota; Gammaproteobacteria; Enterobacterales; Enterobacteriaceae.